UAAUGAAUUUAUUCAAAAAUGAAAUAUUUUUUGUUUUUUCAUCAGGUGAAACACUGAGUUAAACUUCUUGAAUGACUUUUCAAAUAAAUAUAAACUUGGACCAAUGCUGCAAUGUUCAAUAUUGCCCUGUAUUCUAAAUAAAUUCUCUUUGACCCACAUAAAAAGUAAGAUGCAGAAAUCUAUAAAAAUGUAAUACAAUAUUCACAAUAUAUAAAAGAAUAAUAUAAUAUUCAUAUCAAAAUUAUUUUGACCUUAUAUCUAAGUGGUUUUAUCUGAGGUUGGUUCAGUAUUUUUCACAUUAUAAACAUGGUAAGUUGCAUAUAAUCAUAGAAAAUCACUGGUGAUCAGCUAAUUAUUAUUAAUAUAAGCAAAAUCCUUUAAAAAGUAUUCAUUAAUGUACUGACAAUUGAUCCAUGUAAUUUAUUACAGAGGUAUGAGAUGAUUCUGAAGGCUAUUCAAAAAUAUCACAUCUAUACUAAUUUAAUAGUGUGUACAAUUUUUCUCCAGGAAUUUUUAUACCAUGCUAAGCUGUUAUGAUUUUAAUUGUUAAUAAAUGGGAAUUAAAAAAAUAGUUGAUGUAAAAAAAGGUGAUACAGGCUUUCCUUUUAAAUGUAAUUUUCAACAGGAAAAUCAGCAUUGCCACCUUCAAAUUUUAGACAAAGAAUUGUGUUUUGUAUGGUGUGCAUGUAGGGGUAUUAUAUUAUAUUUAAGUAUUUUAUGUAAAUUAUGUGAGUAUAUUUUUAAAACAAUUCAUAUUUUAGGUGCUGCACCAUAUUUUCACUACUUAAGAGUUUAGGUACAUUUGCUUUUGCAAUGCUGAACCCUUUGAUCAGAAAUUAAAAGUGUAAGUGGUAUGAUAAAACAACAUUUUAUGAUAAUUUACUAUGUACCACUGUUAAAGUAAUGCAAUAAAAGAG
RNAcentral lists this long non-coding RNA (917 nucleotides) under Marmota monax (woodchuck). The record is from RNAcentral. Lineage: Eukaryota; Metazoa; Chordata; Mammalia; Rodentia; Sciuridae.